CACGUAGGGUGCGAGCGUUGUCCGGAAUUAUUGGGCGUAAAGAGCUCGUAGGCGGUGUGUCGCGUCGGCCGUGAAAACCUGCAGCUCAACUGUGGGCUUGCGGUCGAUACGGGCAUCACUGGAGUUCGGCAGGGGAGACUGGAAUUCCUGGUGUAGCGGUGAAAUGCGCAGAUAUCAGGAGGAACACCGGUGGCGAAGGCGGGUCUCUGGGCAGUAACUGACGCUGAGGAGCGAAAGCGUGGGGAGCGAACAGG
RNAcentral lists this ribosomal RNA (254 nucleotides) under uncultured bacterium. RNAcentral describes it as "partial 16S ribosomal RNA". It matches the Rfam family "Bacterial small subunit ribosomal RNA", at positions 524 to 776 of the family's 1533-position model. The record is from RNAcentral.